CCUACGGGGGGCUGCAGUGGGGAAUAUUGGACAAUGGGGGGAACCCUGAUCCAGCCAUGCCGCGUGUGUGAAGAAGGCCCUCGGGUUGUAAAGCACUUUCAGUGAGGAAGAACGCCUGGUGGUUAAUACCCAUCAGGAAAGACAUCACUCACAGAAGAAGCACCGGCUAACUCCGUGCCAGCAGCCGCGGUAAUACGGAGGGUGCGAGCGUUAAUCGGAAUUACUGGGCGUAAAGCGCGCGUAGGUGGCUGGAUAAGCCGGUUGUGAAAGCCCCGGGCUCAACCUGGGAACGGCAUCCGGAACUGUCAAGCUAGAGUGCAGGAGAGGAAGGUAGAAUUCCCGGUGUAGCGGUGAAAUGCGUAGAGAUCGGGAGGAAUACCAGUGGCGAAGGCGGCCUUCUGGACUGACACUGACACUGAGGUGCGAAAGCGUGGGUAGCAAACAGGAUUAGAUACCCCUGUAGUC
Molecule: ribosomal RNA, 465 nt
Filed under: Vreelandella stevensii
Lineage: Bacteria; Pseudomonadati; Pseudomonadota; Gammaproteobacteria; Oceanospirillales; Halomonadaceae
Description: partial 16S ribosomal RNA
Rfam family: Bacterial small subunit ribosomal RNA
Source: RNAcentral